UUGGAAUAAAUACCAACUUUGACAAAUGAGAGUAAUAAUAACAUCGUGAGUCCGUGACAAGCAAGCACAACUAAUGAACAAAAAUCAAGUAUACACAUUUAAAACUUGUCUACAGUGAAAGUUACAGAGUACAAAAUUACCAACUGCACAGUUAAAUUUAGUAUGGCAGCCUUAGGCCAUGUAGGAAUCGGACAAUAAUAGGCAACAAAACACGUAAAUUUAGCUUAUCGACUUCAGAUCUUCUAAUCUUCCCAUUUACCAAUCUCUUAUCCCUCCAUAAAUCUAACCGUAAGUUCACGAUCCAACCAAAGCUUUAUAAGCCCAGCAUUAUUAACUGCUAAAUUCCAUAAUCAGUUAUCCAUAAUCACUCCCAGCA
Molecule: long non-coding RNA, 376 nt
Organism: Rhododendron vialii
Lineage: Eukaryota; Viridiplantae; Streptophyta; Magnoliopsida; Ericales; Ericaceae
Exons: 2
Source: RefSeq, a predicted model, not a curated record